RNAcentral lists this unclassified non-coding RNA (19 nucleotides) under Tequintavirus T5. RNAcentral describes it as "Escherichia virus T5 partial miscellaneous RNA". The record is from RNAcentral. Lineage: Duplodnaviria; Heunggongvirae; Uroviricota; Caudoviricetes; Demerecviridae.
AUAAAUUGAUAAACAAAAA